This 494-nucleotide ribosomal RNA is filed under the name uncultured bacterium. RNAcentral describes it as "partial 16S ribosomal RNA". It matches the Rfam family "Bacterial small subunit ribosomal RNA", at positions 28 to 507 of the family's 1533-position model. The record is from RNAcentral.
GACGAACGCUGGCGACGUGCUUAACACAUGCAAGUCGAACGGAAAGGCCUGCUUUCCCUUGUGGAUUGCGGGUACUCGAGUGGCGAACGGGUGAGUAACACGUGAGUGAUCUGCCCCCAACUUGGGUAUAAGCCUGGGAAACUGGGUCUAAUUCCCGAUAGGACUGCAGGGUGGUGCCUGUGGUGGAAAACGAUUUUCUAGUGGUUGGGGAUGAGCUCGCGGCCUAUCAGCUUGUUGGUGGGGUAAUGGCCUACCAAGGCGGCGACGGGUAGCCGGCCUGAGAGGGUGGACGGCCACAUUGGGACUGAGAUACGGCCCAGACUCCUACGGGAGGCAGCAGUGGGGAAUAUUGCACAAUGGGCGGAAGCCUGAUGCAGCGACGCCGCGUGGGGGAUGACGGCCUUCGGGUUGUAAACUCCUUUCGACCGCGAGGAAGCCACCUGGUUGGAAGGGUGGUGACGGUAGUGGUAGAAGAAGCACCGGCUAACUACGUG